GUUUUUGGAACUCAGGUUAAGAACGCCACAUCCUGCUCCUGCGAUUACUCGUCGCAAAAUUCCUGCUCCUGCGAUUACUCGUCGCAAAAUUCCUUUUGUGGCAACGGCUGCAUAACCUGCUUCGUGCAGG
Molecule: small RNA, 130 nt
Filed under: Paenisporosarcina sp. HGH0030
Lineage: Bacteria; Bacillati; Bacillota; Bacilli; Caryophanales; Caryophanaceae
Description: Bacillaceae-1 RNA
Rfam family: Bacillaceae-1 RNA
Source: Rfam by way of RNAcentral